RNAcentral lists this small RNA (77 nucleotides) under Marmota monax (woodchuck). Lineage: Eukaryota; Metazoa; Chordata; Mammalia; Rodentia; Sciuridae. The record is from RNAcentral.
GCUGGGAAUGGUGGCGCAUGCCUGUAAUCCCCGUGGCUUGGGAGGCUGAGGCAGGAGAAUCUCAAACCCAGCCUCAG